AGUGGCGUAGAUUAUGUUUACGAUCAAUUAAACUACAACUUAAAUGUUAAUUUUAAUGGACGUAAAAUUGUAGGUGAUAACCCUAACGAUAUUA
RNAcentral lists this transfer RNA (94 nucleotides) under Flavobacterium okayamense. RNAcentral's name for it is "tRNA-Cys". The record is from RNAcentral. Lineage: Bacteria; Pseudomonadati; Bacteroidota; Flavobacteriia; Flavobacteriales; Flavobacteriaceae.